AUUUUGUUUGGGUAUGAAUUUAUUUUAUUAAUUGUGGUUAAUUAAUUUAAUUUUAGUAAUCUUGGUUAGUUAAUUUAAUUUUAGUAAUAUUAUUUAAUUAAAUUAAUUUUAUUAUUUGUAGUUAAUUAAUUUAGUUAAUUUAAUUUAUUAAUUGUGAGUAGUUAAUUGAUUUAUAAUAUUAGUGUUGAUUUAAUUAAGGAACCUUGAUAAUAACAUAUUAAUAGAAUUGAAGUGUGGAUUAAGGUAGUUUAGAUAUAAUGUUAUUGUAAAUUAUAAUUUUGAUUGUGUGGUGAUGUUGAGAUUGAAGGAGGAUGGGAAAUUUGAUUUGAUUGAUUGCCCGAUGAAUGGGCUGUGUGGUUUGAUAAAUUGUUGAUAUUUUAACAGGUGGAUAGUCC
RNAcentral lists this long non-coding RNA (395 nucleotides) under Jatropha curcas. Its description in RNAcentral is "long non-coding RNA (JCUR_LNC000481)". Lineage: Eukaryota; Viridiplantae; Streptophyta; Magnoliopsida; Malpighiales; Euphorbiaceae. The record is from RNAcentral.